Molecule: ribosomal RNA, 261 nt
Filed under: uncultured archaeon
Lineage: Archaea
Description: partial 16S ribosomal RNA
Rfam family: Archaeal small subunit ribosomal RNA
Source: RNAcentral
AGGGUGCAAACGCUGCAGACUUGGUGUUGGAAGCCCUUUGGGGGCAUUCAGUGCCGGAGAGAAGUUGUUAAGUCUGCUACUUGGGGAGUACGUCCGCAAGGAUGAAACUUAAAGGAAUUGGCGGGGGAGCACCGCAACGGGAGGAGCGUGCGGUUUAAUUGGAUUCAACACCGUAAAACUCACCAGGGAAGACUGUUACAUGAAGGCCGAGAUGAAGACUCUGCUAGAUUUUCAGAGAGGAGGUGCAUGGCGUCAGUGACU